Chenopodium quinoa (quinoa) is the source of this 2462-nucleotide long non-coding RNA. RefSeq lists it as uncharacterized. Lineage: Eukaryota; Viridiplantae; Streptophyta; Magnoliopsida; Caryophyllales; Amaranthaceae. The transcript is spliced from 5 exons. The record is from RefSeq and is a predicted model, not a curated record.
CUGCAAAAAAAAGGUAUUUGCAACGUUUUGUUUUGGAGCACUGCAAAUAUGUCGAACAACCAAAGAAUAAUACAAUCCAAUUAAUAAAAGUCCAGAAGUUCAGAACACUAUCCCUUGCAAAACUAAAGCAAGCAGUUCAAAACACUUCCUCGCCCAAGCAAGUUCAACACCUUGCCGCCGUUCAGCCAUUCGUCGCCGGAAGUUCUCCUCGUGUCAAGGGGAUACCAACAACUUCUCCGUUAACUUCUCCUCGUCCAACAACUGAUAAAUUCACGAAUAGAUCGAGGGGAUUGGGUUUCAGCCGUUUACUGUGUCAAAAAGGCAAAUAUUGGAGCAUUAAGCUUUGAUCUACAAGAUCUAGUUCUUCCAAUUAGCUUUGGAUUUUGUUCUUCUUCUGUGUGAUUUCCAUCGCCCUAACUUAGGAUACCCAUUAAUUCUGCGUCGCCGUUGCCGUUGCCGUACAACUGGUUUUCUUAAACCCUAAUUUCUAUACCACUCAUCAAUUCUUGUUUUUGAUUUUUUAAUUAUUGGUUUUCGUUUGAUUUGAAGAAUAUCUGGUAUGUUUGUUCGUAUUUAUGCCGAAGUUGUGUUUAAUUGAUUAAUUUGUGAUGUUGUUCUUUAAUUGCUGUUUUUAGGGUUUAUUUAUGGUGUUGAUUGAUGCAAUGUGAAAUUUGAAAAUUUGCCUAUAUAGUAGUGAGAUUUCUGUGAUAUAAUCGAUAAUUAGUUUACAUCGGACAGGCUAAUGAUUAUUUUAAAGGUUCGGAAAAAUUAAAUUAUUAAUGUGACGAUUUUAUGUGGCUUUAAGUUGCUUCGGUAUCAAUUUCUCGGUUUUGUUUAUUUGUACCUUUUGUUCGGAUUUAGUCAUCACAUUGUCGGGUUCAAAUUAUGCUAUUGAAAUGUUUUAUUCAUUCAUUCAAAUUACGCAAGGGCCUAGGGACAUUAUAAGUGCAAAACUCUCCUUUUGCAAAUCUGAUGGUGUGUUCUAUUAACCUAAUUUUUACUUAUCUGAACUUAUAUGAUCUGAUUUGAACUUAUCUGAACUUAUUAGCCCUUAUUAGAACUUAUUUUAGUUAUAAAAUGAACUUAGGUAGCCCUGAUUAACCCUUAUCACAACUUAUCUGAACUUAUUUUUCCUGUACUUACCUUAUCUGAACUUACUUUUCCUGAAAUAAGUGAAAAUAAGGUGAACAGAACAGCCUGAGCAUAAUGAUUUUGCAGAUUUUAUUAGAAAAGCAAAUUGGUUUAUAGUAGUAGAGAAAUUAGUUUGAGGGACUCUUAAUGUAGUAGUGUUAUUGGUAUUUCUAUCAUCUUUUUAAGGUGGUUAGGUUCUGAGUCUAAGGUAUCAUAUUAUGUGGUUGCAGAAUAUGGAUACUUCAAAUCCUGCAGCAUUGUAAUCACUCCGCCUGUAUGUUGGGCGGAAGGUUCGGGUAGCUAUACAGGUGAUACAAUCUGAUGGCAGUUCUUUGAUUAAGAAAUCAACUGAUGAUCAUCAGCUCGUCACAAAGGGUUCGCCACCAACUCAACCACUUACCAAAUAUGUUGAGGUUAUUGGUAUUGCUGAGAGCAACCAAUCGGUUCGUGCUGACAUAAUGACCAACUUUGGUGAUAAUUUUGGAUAAAACAGGUAACUCAUAUCCUUGUCAGUCUCCCCUUGAUUUGUUUAUGUGUUCAAACAACAACCAACGUGUUUCUUGAGGUAUCAUUUCAUUAUACUCCCUAUCUCCUUCAUCCUGUUCUUCAAAUUUUCAAACUGAAUUCUUUGCAUACAUUGCUACUUUGAAUUUAUUAAAAAGGAAUGUGUUGCAUGAGAUAUUAUCAGUUUGUUUAGUAUGUUGUAUGAGAUGCACUACAAUCUUUCAUUAAGAAAUCUGCAAGCAUAUUUGGCCUUACGAGAGGAAAGGUACAGGUUCACCAACGUGAACCGUUAGCAAGUAAGCCAAAGUCUUUUAAGAACGCCGGAGACUCUGUUGUUUACUUUGAUAGUACUGGUGCUGUAUCUACAACUGGUAUUAGUUCUUCUUCCAGGUUAAAGGUCAUUUCAAGUUCAGUGGUCGCUUCUACUGGUGAAUCGAUUGCUGCUUCUUCGUCUGAAAAAUUUGUUUCAUCUCCAGCAUCAGAGUCAGUGAAUCAGCCUGAUUUGAAUGCACAUGUAGGAGCCAAAUCUGCAGCUGAUCAAGUGAUGGGUGUGGGGGAAUUUCAAACUGCCAACACUCCCACCUCUGCCUCCAGCACUACCAUCCCUUUGAAGAGGCGCAAGCCUUGGGAAAGAAAAGUGCCUGCUACACUCUUCUCCAGGGCUCAGUUGAUCAGAUUAUGAGCACAUGGGUCCAAGCAAUUGGCAGACGUUUUAUGGCUUAGAUAUCAACUCAGAGAGGGGGCUUGUUCUAGUUGCUGAUAACUUCGGCUAUCUGUACAUGGUCGUCAUGGUGGGGGGAAGAAUAUAGAGCUUCUUAGUAGAAGUU